Molecule: ribosomal RNA, 899 nt
Filed under: uncultured bacterium
Lineage: Bacteria
Description: bacterial SSU rRNA
Rfam family: Bacterial small subunit ribosomal RNA
Source: RNAcentral
AGGAUGAACGCUAGCUACAGGCUUAACACAUGCAAGUCGAGGGGAAACGACAUCGAAAGCUUGCUUUUGAUGGGCGUCGACCGGCGCACGGGUGAGUAACGCGUAUCCAACCUGCCCACCACUUGGGGAUAACCUUGCGAAAGUAAGACUAAUACCCAAUGAUAUCUCUAGAAGACAUCUGAAAGAGAUUAAAGAUUUAUCGGUGAUGGAUGGGGAUGCGUCUGAUUAGCUUGUUGGCGGGGUAACGGCCCACCAAGGCGACGAUCAGUAGGGGUUCUGAGAGGAAGGUCCCCCACAUUGGAACUGAGACACGGUCCAAACUCCUACGGGAGGCAGCAGUGAGGAAUAUUGGUCAAUGGACGAGAGUCUGAACCAGCCAAGUAGCGUGCAGGAUGACGGCCCUAUGGGUUGUAAACUGCUUUUAUAAGGGAAUAAAGUGAGUCUCGUGAGACUUUUUGCAUGUACCUUAUGAAUAAGGACCGGCUAAUUCCGUGCCAGCAGCCGCGGUAAUACGGAAGGUCCGGGCGUUAUCCGGAUUUAUUGGGUUUAAAGGGAGCGUAGGCCGGAGAUUAAGCGUGUUGUGAAAUGUAGACGCUCAACGUCUGCACUGCAGCGCGAACUGGUUUCCUUGAGUACGCACAAAGUGGGCGGAAUUCGUGGUGUAGCGGUGAAAUGCUUAGAUAUCACGAAGAACUCCGAUUGCGAAGGCAGCUCACUGGAGCGCAACUGACGCUGAAGCUCGAAAGUGCGGGUAUCGAACAGGAUUAGAUACCCUGGUAGUCCGCACGGUAAACGAUGGAUGCCCGCUGUUGGUCUGAAUAGGUCAGCGGCCAAGCGAAAGCAUUAAGCAUCCCACCUGGGGAGUACGCCGGCAACGGUGAAACUCAAAGGAAUUGACG